GAUGAACGCUGGCGGCGUGCCUAAUACAUGCAAGUCGAGCGAACGGACGAGAAGCUUGCUUCUCUGAUGUUAGCGGCGGACGGGUGAGUAACACGUGGAUAACCUACCUAUAAGACUGGGAUAACUUCGGGAAACCGGAGCUAAUACCGGAUAAUAUUUUGAACCGCAUGGUUCAAAAGUGAAAGACGGUCUUGCUGUCACUUAUAGAUGGAUCCGCGCUGCAUUAGCUAGUUGGUAAGGUAACGGCUUACCAAGGCAACGAUGCAUAGCCGACCUGAGAGGGUGAUCGGCCACACUGGAACUGAGACACGGUCCAGACUCCUACGGGAGGCAGCAGUAGGGAAUCUUCCGCAAUGGGCGAAAGCCUGACGGAGCAACGCCGCGUGAGUGAUGAAGGUCUUCGGAUCGUAAAACUCUGUUAUUAGGGAAGAACAUAUGUGUAAGUAACUGUGCACAUCUUGACGGUACCUAAUCAGAAAGCCACGGCUAACUACGUGCCAGCAGCCGCGGUAAUACGUAGGCGGCAAGCGUUGUCCGGAAUUAUUGGGCGUAAAGCGCGCGUAGGCGGUUUUUUAGUCUGAUGUGAAAGCCCACGGCUCAACCGUGGAGGGUCAUUGGAAACUGGAAAACUUGAGUGCAGAAGAGGAAAGUGGAAUUCCAUGUGUAGCGGUGAAAUGCGCAGAGAUAUGGAGGAACACCAGUGGCGAAGGCGACUUUCUGGUCUGUAACUGACGCUGAUGUGCGAAAGCGUGGGGAUCAAACAGGAUUAGAUACCCUGGUAGUCCACGCCGUAAACGAUGAGUGCUAAGUGUUAGGGGGUUUCCGCCCUUAGUGCUGCAGCUAACGCAUUAAGCACUCCGCCUGGGGAGUACGACCGCAAGGUUGAAACUCAAAGGAAUUGACGGGGACCCGCACAAGCGGUGGAGCAUGUGGUUUAAUUCGAAGCAACGCGAAGAACCUUACCAAAUCUUGACAUCCUUUGACAACUCUAGAGAUAGAGCUUUCCCCUUCGGGGGACAAAGUGACAGGUGGUGCAUGGUUGUCGUCAGCUCGUGUCGUGAGAUGCUGGGUUAAGUCCCGCAACGAGCGCAACCCUUAAGCUUAGUUGCCAUCAUUAAGUUGGGCACUCUAAGUUGACUGCCGGUGACAAACCGGAGGAAGGUGGGGAUGACGUCAAAUCAUCAUGCCCCUUAUGAUUUGGGCUACACACGUGCUACAAUGGACAAUACAAAGGGCAGCGAAACCGCGAGGUCAAGCAAAUCCCAUAAAGUUGUUCUCAGUUCGGAUUGUAGUCUGCAACUCGACUACAUGAAGCUGGAAUCGCUAGUAAUCGUAGAUCAGCAUGCUACGGUGAAUACGUUCCCGGGUCU
This 1370-nucleotide ribosomal RNA is filed under the name uncultured bacterium. RNAcentral's name for it is "bacterial SSU rRNA". It matches the Rfam family "Bacterial small subunit ribosomal RNA", at positions 28 to 1381 of the family's 1533-position model. The record is from RNAcentral.